Haliotis rubra (blacklip abalone) is the source of this 236-nucleotide long non-coding RNA. RefSeq lists it as uncharacterized. The record is from RefSeq and is a predicted model, not a curated record. The transcript is spliced from 3 exons. Lineage: Eukaryota; Metazoa; Mollusca; Gastropoda; Lepetellida; Haliotidae.
GGAGAAACUACAGUCAGCGCUGGAUCCAUGUCGAGCCUUGAUUGGAGAGGUCAAGUUCAGCGACAAGAAGAAGUUCUCCAAGUAUACCUUUCAGUUAAAACAGGGGAAACUUGUGUGUUUCAAAGAUUCAAAGGGUACACAUCAGCUGCACUCCUGGAAUGUAGAAGACAUUGUCAUCUAUCUGGGCAUCGACAGUCGCAGAUCAGGAGGAAAGUGAGUGGUUUUGGGCAGAUUAG